GCAACGGCGCCAAACACUUCCGGAGCUGCGGGGACGACUCUUCUGGAGGAAGCAGCGCGGGCUUGACCGGCGUCGGCCCGCCGCCUCUGCUGCCGCUUCGCCCCAAUCCGGUCCCUCUGGCCCGGCCUGACCCGGUCUGGCUUGUUCGGGCUCAGCGGCCGCGAGGCCGCAGCUCCCGGCCGUUGAUGCUCACUGCCAUCAGCUGCAUCCUCCCUAUGGCACUGGUAUCUCAUUCAGUUGCUAAACUUAUAUUAGUUAAUUUCCACUGGCAAGUUUCAGAGAUAUUGGACAGAUACAAGUCCAAUUCUGCUCAACUGCUUGUUGAGGCUCGAGUUCAGCCUAAUCCAUCAAAACAUGUUCCCACAUCCCAUCCCCCUCACCACUGUGCAGUGUGUAUGCAGUUUGUGCGAAAGGAAAACCUACUCUCUCUGGCCUGUCAGCACCAGUUUUGCCGCAGCUGCUGGGAGCAGCACUGCUCAGUUCUCGUCAAGGACGGCGUGGGCGUGG
This 507-nucleotide small RNA is filed under the name Pongo abelii (Sumatran orangutan). RNAcentral describes it as "processed transcript". The record is from RNAcentral. Lineage: Eukaryota; Metazoa; Chordata; Mammalia; Primates; Hominidae.